Non-coding RNA from Bombyx mori (domestic silkworm), 84 nucleotides. The record is from Rfam. Lineage: Eukaryota; Metazoa; Arthropoda; Insecta; Lepidoptera; Bombycidae.
AAAAGUAAAAUUUGUAUGGAGUUGGAACGUUUGCCUACGUUUGCCGCCAGGGGCGCUGUUCCAACUGCAUACAAAAUUGAGUUA